GCCAACGUAGCUCAGUCGGUAGAGCAACUCCAUGGUAAGGAGUAGGUCGCCGGUUCGAUUCCGGCCGUUGGCUCCA
Molecule: transfer RNA, 76 nt
Filed under: bacterium
Lineage: Bacteria
Description: tRNA-Thr
Rfam family: tRNA
About the family: Transfer RNA (tRNA) molecules are approximately 80 nucleotides in length. Their secondary structure includes four short double-helical elements and three loops (D, anti-codon, and T loops).
Source: RNAcentral